CCCAAAUGACUAAAAUGACAAAAAAGAAAUGAAAACCUCAAAAUUAAUGACAUGGUGUGCACAUUUAAAAUCUGUUGUCCCAAUUCCAAUAGUUGCUUUGAAAAACCUCAAUAAAUUACAACCAACAAUCACAUGGCCCAUUCUACACUUUCUAGAUAGUCUAAAUUCCAACUUUAAGAAGCACAAUUUAAUAUACUAACUCAAUGAUAAUAGAGGCGUAAGCACACAAAUUAAAUUAAACUAACUAACAUUCUCAUGCUCAGAAACAAAGCUUUAUUCUUAUUUACAACACAAAAAGAACAACGGAAAUAAUUUAUUAACCAAAUACAGAGUUAGAAAAUGGACCUCAAUAAAACAUCCAACAAAGCUAAGGACCAGCGACCGAAAAACCUUGGAUGGCGACGACCUCGAGCAAUGGAACUUCGACUCGGAAAAAGCUGCUAUUUUACGUGAAAAAGUGGGUUGUUUUAAGGUGCUUUAAAGGUGCGUUUUUGGGGUUGAGAACUGGACGCUUUUGCUGGUGGGUUUAAAGGUGCGUUUUUGGGGUUGAGAACUGGGCGCUUUUGCUGGUGUUUGGUGCUGAUGUUUUUGGUUAUUUUAAUGGAGAUUUAAGGGCUGUUUUUGGGUGGUUUAACUGAGGUUUCAUGGCUGUUUGGACGGUGUUUUAGGAGUGUUUUGGGGUUCUUUGAGCUGGAGUUUGGGGGUGGAUUUAAACUGUUUUUGAGUUGUUUGCAGGUAGUAAUUUAGGGGCUGUUUUGAGGGGAUUACGUAGCUAAAAAGCUGCCAGUUUUAAUGGAGAAAAUGGUGAUGUUUCGUGACUAUUUUGGUGGAGAUUUACAUUGCUUUUCAUGGAGUUUUUUUAGAGGAAAAAGAUGACUGAGUUAUGGCCUCUUCUUCUCUCUCGUUUUAUUUGCCUUCCUGAUUCGUUUCCC
RNAcentral lists this long non-coding RNA (932 nucleotides) under Nicotiana tabacum (common tobacco). RNAcentral's name for it is "long non-coding RNA (NTAB_LNC012939)". The record is from RNAcentral. Lineage: Eukaryota; Viridiplantae; Streptophyta; Magnoliopsida; Solanales; Solanaceae.